RNAcentral lists this ribosomal RNA (484 nucleotides) under uncultured bacterium. Its description in RNAcentral is "bacterial SSU rRNA". It matches the Rfam family "Bacterial small subunit ribosomal RNA", at positions 10 to 507 of the family's 1533-position model. The record is from RNAcentral.
AGUUUGAUCAGUGGCUCGAGGACGAACGCUGGCGGCGUGCCUAACACAUGCAAGUCGAACGGAGAUACGAUUUCGGUUGUAUCUUAGUGGCGAACGGGUGAGUAACGCGUGAGCAACCUGACCUUUAGAGGGGGAUAACACUUGGAAACAGGUGCUAAUACCGCAUAAGACCACGACCUGACAUCAGGAUGAGGUCAAAGGAGCAAUCCGCUAAAGGAGGGGCUCGCGUCCCAUUAGAUAGAUGGCGGGGUAACGGCCCACCAUGUCGACGAUGGGUAGCCGAGCUGAGAGGCUGAUCGGCCACACUGGAACUGAGACACGGUCCAGACUCCUACGGGAGGCAGCAGUGGAGAAUAUUGGGCAAUGGGCGCAAGCCUGACCCAGCAACGCCGCGUGAGGGAGAAGGCCUUCGGGUUGUAAACCUCUGUCCUUGGUGACGAAACAAAUGACGGUAGCCAAGGAGGAAGCCCCGGCUAACUACGUG